ACCCUUGUGAAGAACCGAUGAUGCAGAUGGCUUGGGGAUCCUGUUUACAGGAUGAACCUAACUGGAGGUGCUGUAUCCACAUGACAUUGACAGGAAAGUCUGAGGU
Non-coding RNA from Triticum aestivum (bread wheat), 106 nucleotides. NCBI's taxonomy places the organism in Eukaryota, Viridiplantae, Streptophyta, Magnoliopsida, Poales, Poaceae. The record is from Rfam.